RNAcentral lists this ribosomal RNA (306 nucleotides) under Triticum aestivum (bread wheat). Its description in RNAcentral is "partial small subunit ribosomal RNA". The record is from RNAcentral. Lineage: Eukaryota; Viridiplantae; Streptophyta; Magnoliopsida; Poales; Poaceae.
AUGCACUUGUGGCCAAACAAAAGAGGAAACAAGGCGUCCUGGAAAAGCAUGGAGUGGCCUGGAGCAGCACCGAUCCCGUCAACGCAGCGGGUCUCCUCCCGUUGGAUGUAUAGGAGGCCAUCCAUGGAGGUUGAGGCCGCGACAGCGACCGACGAACUGAAGGAGGCAACGUCUCGGCUCCUGCAGCAAAAUGACAGCGAGGUGGAGAAGGGGCCGGUAGGCAGAAGAGGUCGCGAGGAAUGCAGGGGCCGCAAGCGAGCUCACUCAGGGAGCUCCUCGGGUGCUUCUGGUCGGGGUCGAAGCUGA